This 492-nucleotide ribosomal RNA is filed under the name uncultured bacterium. Its description in RNAcentral is "partial 16S ribosomal RNA". It matches the Rfam family "Bacterial small subunit ribosomal RNA", at positions 29 to 507 of the family's 1533-position model. The record is from RNAcentral.
AGUGAACGCUGGCGGUAGGCCUAACACAUGCAAGUCGAACGGCAGCACAGUAAGAGCUUGCUCUUACGGGUGGCGAGUGGCGGACGGGUGAGGAAUACAUCGGAAUCUACUUUUUCGUGGGGGAUAACGUAGGUAAACUUACGCUAAUACCGCAUACGACCUACGGGUGAAAGCAGGGGAUCUUCGGACCUUGCGCGAUUGAAUGAGCCGCUGUCGGAUUAGCUAGUUGGCGGGGUAAAGGCCCACCAAGGCGCCGAUCCGUAGCUGGUCUGAGAGGACGAUCGGCGACACUGGAACUGGGACACGGUCCAGGCUCCUACGGGAGGCAGCAGUGGGGAAUGUGGGACAAUGGGCGCAAGCCUGGUCCAGCCAUACCGCGUGGGUGAAGAAGGCCUUCGGGUUGUAAAGCCCUUUUGUUGGGAAAGAAAAGCAGCAGGUUAAUACCCCGCUGUUCUGACGGUACCCAAUGAAUAAGCACCGGCUAACUUCGUG